UCCGCCCGCUGGCGGCGGGCUUAACACAUGCAAGUCGAACGGAAAGGCCCUGCUUUUGUGGGGUGCUCGAGUGGCGAACGGGUGAGUAACACGUGAGUAACCUGCCCUUGACUGGGGGAUAACUUCAGGAAACUGGUGCUAAUACCGGAUAGGAGCGCCUGCUGGAGGGUGGGGGUUGGAAAGUUUCGGUGGUUGGGGAUGGACUCGCGGCUUAUCAGCUUGUGGGUGGGGUAGUGGCUUACCAAGGCUUUGACGGGUAGCCGGCCUGAGAGGGUGACCGGCCACAUUGGGACUGAGAUACGGCCCAGACUCCUACGGGAGGCAGCAGUGGGGAAUAUUGCACAAUGGGCGGAAGCCUGAUGCAGCAACGCCGCGUGCGGGAUGACGGCCUUCGGGUUGUAAACCGCUUUCGCCUGUGACGAAGCGUGAGUGACGGUAAUGGGUAAAGAAGCACCGGCUAACUACGUG
This 468-nucleotide ribosomal RNA is filed under the name uncultured bacterium. RNAcentral describes it as "partial 16S ribosomal RNA". It matches the Rfam family "Bacterial small subunit ribosomal RNA", at positions 34 to 507 of the family's 1533-position model. The record is from RNAcentral.